This 472-nucleotide ribosomal RNA is filed under the name uncultured bacterium. RNAcentral describes it as "bacterial SSU rRNA". It matches the Rfam family "Bacterial small subunit ribosomal RNA", at positions 8 to 507 of the family's 1533-position model. The record is from RNAcentral.
AGAGUUUGAUCAUGGCUCAGGAUGAACGCUGGCGGCGUGCCUAACACAUGCAAGUCGAGCGAUCUUCUUCGGAAGAGAGCGGCGGACGGGUGAGUAACGCGUGGGUAACCUGCCCCAUACACAUGGAUAACAUACCGAAAGGUAUGCUAAUACAAGAUGAUAUAAGAGAUUCGCAUGGAUUUCUUAUCAAAGCUCCGGCGGUAUGAGAUGGACCCGCGUCUGAUUAGCUAGUUGGUAAGGUAAUGGCUUACCAAGGCGACGAUCAGUAGCCGACCUGAGAGGGUGAUCGGCCACAUUGGAACUGAGACACGGUCCAAACUCCUACGGGAGGCAGCAGUGGGGAAUAUUGCACAAUGGGCGAAAGCCUGAUGCAGCAACGCCGCGUGAGCGAUGAAGGCCUUCGGGUCGUAAAGCUCUGUCCUCAAGGAAGAUAAUGACGGUACUUGAGGAGGAAGCCCCGGCUAACUACGUG